Molecule: ribosomal RNA, 259 nt
Filed under: Salmonella enterica subsp. enterica serovar Heidelberg
Lineage: Bacteria; Pseudomonadati; Pseudomonadota; Gammaproteobacteria; Enterobacterales; Enterobacteriaceae
Also listed under: 7 other names
Description: partial 16S ribosomal RNA
Rfam family: Bacterial small subunit ribosomal RNA
Source: RNAcentral
UAGACCGCCUGGGGAGUACGGCCGCAAGGUUAAAACUCAAAUGAAUUGACGGGGGCCCGCACAAGCGGUGGAGCAUGUGGUUUAAUUCGAUGCAACGCGAAGAACCUUACCUGGUCUUGACAUCCACAGAACUUUCCAGAGAUGGAUUGGUGCCUUCGGGAACUGUGAGACAGGUGCUGCAUGGCUGUCGUCAGCUCGUGUUGUGAAAUGUUGGGUUAAGUCCCGCAACGAGCGCAACCCUUAUCCUUUGUUGCCAGCG